This 218-nucleotide unclassified non-coding RNA is filed under the name root metagenome. RNAcentral describes it as "partial contains small subunit ribosomal RNA, internal transcribed spacer 1, and 5.8S ribosomal RNA". The record is from RNAcentral.
UUUCCGUAGGUGAACCUGCGGAAGGAUCAUUACCGAGUGCAGGUCUGCCCCCGGGCAGGCCUAACCUCCCACCCGUGAAUACCUGACCAACGUUGCUUCGGCGGUGCGCCCCCCCCGGGGGUAGCCGCCGGAGACCACACCGAACCUCCUGUCUUUAGUGUUGUCUGAGCUUGAUAGCAAACCUAUUAAAACUUUCAACAAUGGAUCUCUUGGUUCCG